Molecule: ribosomal RNA, 253 nt
Filed under: uncultured bacterium
Lineage: Bacteria
Description: partial 16S ribosomal RNA
Rfam family: Bacterial small subunit ribosomal RNA
Source: RNAcentral
UACGGGGGGAGCAAGCGUUGUUCGGAAUUACUGGGCGUAAAGGGCUCGUAGGCGGCCAACUAAGUCAGACGUGAAAUCCCUCGGCUUAGCCGGGGAACUGCAUCUGAUACUGGAUGGCUUGAGUUCGGGAGAGGGAUGCGGAAUUCCAGGUGUAGCGGUGAAAUGCGUAGAUAUCUGGAGGAACACCGGUGGCGAAGGCGGCAUCCUGGACCGACACUGACGCUGAGGAGCGAAAGCCAGGGGAGCAAACGGG